RNAcentral lists this ribosomal RNA (305 nucleotides) under uncultured bacterium. RNAcentral's name for it is "bacterial SSU rRNA". It matches the Rfam family "Bacterial small subunit ribosomal RNA", at positions 334 to 656 of the family's 1533-position model. The record is from RNAcentral.
CCCGCCUACGGGAGGCAGCAGUAGGGAAUAUUGCUCAAUGGGGGAAACCCUGAAGCAGCAACGCCGCGUGGAGGAUGAAGGUUUUCGGAUUGUAAACUCCUUUUGUUAGAGAAGAUAAUGACGGUAUCUAACGAAUAAGCACCGGCUAACUCCGUGCCAGCAGCCGCGGUAAUACGGAGGGUGCAAGCGUUACUCGGAAUCACUGGGCGUAAAGAGCGCGUAGGCGGGAUAGCAAGUCAAGGGUGAAAUGCCACGGCUCAACCGUGGAACUGCCUUUGAAACUGUCAAACUGGAGUAUGUGAGAG